This 256-nucleotide ribosomal RNA is filed under the name Salmonella enterica subsp. enterica serovar Goldcoast. Its description in RNAcentral is "partial 23S ribosomal RNA". It matches the Rfam family "Bacterial large subunit ribosomal RNA", at positions 1088 to 1343 of the family's 2925-position model. The record is from RNAcentral. Lineage: Bacteria; Pseudomonadati; Pseudomonadota; Gammaproteobacteria; Enterobacterales; Enterobacteriaceae.
GACAGCCAGGAUGUUGGCUUAGAAGCAGCCAUCAUUUAAAGAAAGCGUAAUAGCUCACUGGUCGAGUCGGCCUGCGCGGAAGAUGUAACGGGGCUAAACCAUGCACCGAAGCUGCGGCAGCGACACUAUGUGUUGUUGGGUAGGGGAGCGUUCUGUAAGCCUGCGAAGGUGUCUCGUGAGGGAUGCUGGAGGUAUCAGAAGUGCGAAUGCUGACAUAAGUAACGAUAAUGCGGGUGAAAAACCCGCACGCCGGAAG